RNAcentral lists this ribosomal RNA (254 nucleotides) under uncultured prokaryote. RNAcentral describes it as "partial 16S ribosomal RNA". It matches the Rfam family "Bacterial small subunit ribosomal RNA", at positions 524 to 776 of the family's 1533-position model. The record is from RNAcentral.
UACGGAGGGUGCAAGCAUUAAUCGGAAUUAUUGGGCGUAAAGGGCGCGUAGACGGAUCUACAAGUCAGAUGUGAAAUUCCGGAGCUCAACUUCGGAGCUGCAUUUGAAACUAUAGGUCUAAGAGGGAUGGCGGAGAAAAUGGAAUUCCACGUGUAGCGGUGAAAUGCGUAGAUAUCGGGAGGAACACCUGAGGCGAAGGCGGGCUACUGGGCUGAUACUGACGCUGAGGCGCGAAAGCCAGGGGAGCAAACGGG